UUGGUUUAGGGAAAUGGAUAUAUAAAUUUUGAGUCUAUUUCAGAAAUAUGAUUGGGGUAUUUCAAAAUAGAAUAUUGAAUUACUGAAAAAUUCAGAGAAAUAACAGUGAUUUGAAAUAGAGGGUUAUUUUGAAAUCGAAUAUGGCUAUUUUGAAAUAUAAUUGCUGGAAUACUGGGCAGUUUUGUGGGUUUUCAUUCGAUGAUAAAACUGAAGACCCAAACUUGGACCCAUGAUUAUCGGGUUUUAAACACGGUUUUAGUAUAUUAUUACCCAUAUUUUGGAUAUAUUGGAUUAAAAAGAUUUGAUCAUUUGGUGGGUUAAUUUGUGAAUUGAAGUGUGCAUGAGGGAUCAAAGUAACGAGACAAGGGUUAAGUUUUAACCCUAAUAAGACCAUUUGGUCAUGCAUUCUAUAGCUUGGUGGAGAAGGACAAGCAUGCAUGAGUUUAUGGGCCAAUCAAUGAGCAAGGAAGGUAAGACAAAAAUUUUGGGACCAAUAAUGGGGGUAGAAAAUCUCCUACAAAGGGAGAUACAUCUGCUACAGUAAACCAUGAGAGGGGGAAGCCCUUUUGGAAAAUGACCUGUUUUCCCUAAAAAAAACAUGCAAAAGAAGGAAAAAGGGAGGGUCAGGAUGGUCUUUUCUUGCGAAGGAACUAGGAUAUCAGAUUUGGGAGAAGAAAUUCUUCUCAUUCUCCUACCUUGUGGCUGAUAGAUGGAGGAGGGAGCUUGAGUUGUGUUCUUGCUUGAGUUCUGUGGGCAUACUUGGAUAAUUCUUUCUCAAGGACAAAAUACCUACUAUUUUGGAGGAUCUUUGGCUUGAAACCUCAUGAACUUUGUAACUUGCACCCUCUAAUUUCAUGUGCAUGCCAAGGUAGAACAAAACAUUUGAAUCGUAUGCAUGCAUGAUGCAUUUGUACCUUUUGUGCUUACAAAUGUCAUGUUGGACAUGGUGGGCUAUGCACACCACGUGAUGUCUAAAGAACUAGAUGUUUCUGGUUAGAAUGCAUGAUGUUUGUGGGUGAUAUAUGCAUUUCUGGGUUAUUCUUGAUCGAAAAAUGAGGCAGUGACAUGGCAGUGUAACAACCCCCUCCUCCUAGAGGACAAGAAGCAUAGGAGACUUGCUAGACUGCAGUAAAAUAGUGUUGAAAUAUAAAAUUGGUAAUACCAAGAAAAAGAAUAAUAUAAUGACUAUUGAUUGCAGAAAUAUUAACUUAAAAAGAAAUAACAAAAAUGGAAUAUCAUUUUGUGGUGUCAACUGAGGAUGGGGGUGGUGGGAAGAGGAUUAUUGUUAGUAAGAUAAGGUCAGAAAUAUGGCAAUCAUCUGGAUCUAAUAUUUUUAUCCAAGUAUAGAGGUUAACAGUUUCUGGUUUUGUUCCAUAGUAUCUCUGGAUGUAAUCAUCAUUAAGUUUUAGAGAC
Diospyros lotus (date-plum) is the source of this 1413-nucleotide long non-coding RNA. RefSeq lists it as uncharacterized. The transcript has 2 exons. The record is from RefSeq and is a predicted model, not a curated record. Lineage: Eukaryota; Viridiplantae; Streptophyta; Magnoliopsida; Ericales; Ebenaceae.